RNAcentral lists this long non-coding RNA (517 nucleotides) under Phasianus colchicus (ring-necked pheasant). RNAcentral's name for it is "lncRNA (ENSPCLG00000022364.1)". The record is from RNAcentral. Lineage: Eukaryota; Metazoa; Chordata; Aves; Galliformes; Phasianidae.
CCCCAAAUUUUGGUCUAAUUCACCCCAAACUUCAGGCCUUGUUGACCCCCAACUUCAGGCCUCCAUGACCCCAAAUUUUGGCCUUGUUGGUGUCAACCUUUGGGCUUCGUUGACCUCAACUACUGGACCCCAACUUUUACCCCUCAUGCUCCCCGAUUUUUACCCUCGUUCUCCCCAACUUUUACCCUCAUUCUCCCUGAUUUUUACCCUCAUUCUCCCCAACUUUUACCCCUCGUUCUCCCUAACUUUUACCCUCAUUCUCCCCAACUUUUACCCUCGUUCUCCCCGACUUUUGCCUUCAUUCUCCCCAACUUUUACCCUCGUUCUCCCCGCUUUUUGCCCUCAUCCUCCCCAACCCUCCCCAACCUCCCCAACUUCUUCUACCCUCGCCAUCCCCUCUUCUCACCCACCAAAAACCCCAAAUCCCUUUUCCUUCCUUCCUCCCUCAGAAGCGACGCUCGAACCGCCAAGUCAAACGCAAGAAAUACACCGAGGAUUUAGACAUCAAGAUCACUGA